CUGGGACUGGAGAAUACGGAACCAGACUUCUUUAGAGGAGGCAGCAGUGGGGAAUUUUUGCAAUAAGCGAAGCUGACAGUGAUACAAAGUGAGUGAUGAAGGCUUUUGGGUUGUAAACUCUUUUUUCGUUUAGGAAGAUAUGACAUUAUGCGAGAAUAAGCACCGGGCUAAUUUCGUGCCAGCAGCCGCGGUAAUACGAGAGGUGCAAGCGUUAUCCGGAUUUAUUGGGCGUAAAGCGUUUGUAGAUUGUUUGAAAAGUUUAAUGUUAAAAUUUGAAGCUUAACUUUGAUAAGGCAUUAAAAACUUUUAAGACUAGAGUAAUAUGGAGGUAAAGGGAAUUGAUGGUGUAGAGGUGAAAUUCGUAAAUAUUAUCAAGAACGCCGACGGUGAAAGCACUUUACUAUAUUAAUACUGACAUUGAGGGACGAGAGCUAGGGGAGCAAAGCAGAUUAGAUACCUGCGUAGUCCUAGCUGUAAACGAUGGACACUAAGUUAUGAAUAGUUUUAUUUCUGUAGCUAACGCAAUAAGUGUCCCGCCUGGGGAGUAUGCUUGCAAAAGUGAAACUCAAAGGAAUUGACGGGUGCCUACACAAGCGGUGGAGCAUGAGCAAGAAACGAUGAUACACGAUGAACCUUACCAGGGUUUGACAUUUUGAGAUUUCUUUCUAAAGAGAGAUUUUCCAAAAAAAGGAACUCAAAACAGGUGGUGCAUGGCUGUCGUCAGCUCGUGUCGUGAGACGUUAGGUUAAUUCCAUUAACGAGCGCAACCCUCGUCUCUAGUUAAAUUUCUAUAGAUACUGCCAGUGAUAAAUUGGAGGAAGGAGAGGAUGACGUCAAGUCAGCAUGCCCCUUAUAUUCUGGGCUAGACUCGUGCUACAAUGGUUAAUACAAUGAGAAGCAAAUUUGUGAAGAUGAGCAAAUCUUAAAAGUUGGCCUUAGUUCAGAUCGCUAUCUGCAACUCGAUAGCGUUAAGCCGGAAUCGCUAGUAAUCACCAAUCAGCUAUAUGGUGGUGAAUAAGUUCUUAGGUAUUGUACAGACCGCCCGUCACGCCAUGAAAAUUGACUAGACUCGAAAUAGUCUGUAUUUUAUAAAAAGAUUAUUAAGGUUGGGUUAGUAAUUAGGGCGAAGUCGUAACAAGGUAACCA
RNAcentral lists this ribosomal RNA (1146 nucleotides) under uncultured Phacus. Its description in RNAcentral is "bacterial SSU rRNA". It matches the Rfam family "Bacterial small subunit ribosomal RNA", at positions 312 to 1502 of the family's 1533-position model. Lineage: Eukaryota; Euglenozoa; Euglenophyceae; Euglenales; Phacaceae. The record is from RNAcentral.